UGAAAGUCUGCCUCGGAAUUUGGAAAAUCAACAACUGUUUUAGUUAAGACAGAUUGUGCCUUUGUCUCUUCAUGAGAGCUGUCUUUCGAACGACAAUCUCAUGAAUCUGAAGAGCAGAUGGAAUGGCAAAACCAUGCCGUUAUUGUAUAAACUUUAGUGCAAUUAGCAAAAAGGAGUGGUAUAUUUUCAUAUCUGUUGCACUUUGUAUCUUCCUUUUUGUGACCGUGGUUUACGAUGUUAUCAACUAUGCCAUUACAGAAACAACUGAAUACACGACCCAGCCAUUGUCUGUAGCAGUAUUGUGUCUUCAUAUAGUAGCGUGUUACAGUUCCCUGCUAGGCCUUGUUUACGUUACUCAAAAAGGAAUUCGUGGCAACUUGCCAAGAUAUGGCAUUGCAGCAAUAUUGGCCAAUUUCCUAAUUUACACGGCACGAUUUACAGUGGAUAUUCUCUACCUUCACUACAGACCAGAAGAGUAUAGCAAGGCUUCGGCCCAAGCUGAGGUUCCCCAAGCAUGACGUAUGGGUACCAAGCCAACAGAAAAGAAAUCAAAAGCAUUCAAAUUCGAAGAUGCCACAUUUCCAGGAAAAUCUAAUGGCAACACUUUAAAAAUUGAACAGUUGAUGGUAGUAUCAACUUAUGAUGCAGGACAUCAGUAGAACAAUCAAAUUCACCUAAUCUAUAUAACAUAUAAUAUUUUGUAA
Molecule: long non-coding RNA, 704 nt
Organism: Lineus longissimus
Lineage: Eukaryota; Metazoa; Nemertea; Pilidiophora; Heteronemertea; Lineidae
Exons: 3
Source: RefSeq, a predicted model, not a curated record